RNAcentral lists this unclassified non-coding RNA (299 nucleotides) under plant metagenome. RNAcentral describes it as "partial contains 5.8S ribosomal RNA, internal transcribed spacer 2, and large subunit ribosomal RNA". The stretch from base 1 to 105 matches the Rfam family "5.8S ribosomal RNA", at positions 50 to 154 of the family's 154-position model. The record is from RNAcentral.
GAAAUGCGAUAAGUAAUGUGAAUUGCAGAAUUCAGUGAAUCAUCGAAUCUUUGAACGCACAUUGCGCUCGCCAGUAUUCUGGCGAGCAUGCCUGUUCGAGCGUCAUUUCAACCAUCAAGCUCUGCUUGCGUUGGGGAUCCGCGGCUGCCUGCGGUCCCUCAAAAACAGUGGCGGGCUCGCUAGUCACACCGAGCGUAGUAACUCUACAUCGCUAUGGUCGUGCGGCGGGUUCUUGCCGUAAAACCCCCAAUUUCUAAGGUUGACCUCGGAUCAGGUAGGAAUACCCGCUGAACUUAAGC